This 364-nucleotide transfer-messenger RNA is filed under the name Thiogranum longum. RNAcentral's name for it is "Standard tmRNA". It matches the Rfam family "transfer-messenger RNA". Rfam says of the family: Bacterial tmRNA, also known as 10Sa RNA or SsrA, is named for its dual tRNA and mRNA-like properties. Its role is to liberate the mRNA from a stalled ribosome. Lineage: Bacteria; Pseudomonadati; Pseudomonadota; Gammaproteobacteria; Chromatiales; Ectothiorhodospiraceae. The record is from Rfam by way of RNAcentral.
GGGGGCGACCUGGCUUCGACGUGGGUUGCGAAACCUGAGGUGCAUGCCGAGGGACAGAUUACCUCGUAAAUCCAGCUGUAACACUUAUAGUUGCCAACGACGACAACUACGCUUUAGCCGCUUAAAAACCGGUGUAAAGCCUUCGGCCCGGCGCGUGCCUGUACGCCCGGAUCACCGGAGUCAUCCCAUACAGGAUCGCGCUGAAACUAGUCCGGGGUGGAUGCGCUAAAACCUAAUCCGGAAUCGCUGUCUGUUUUCCCUGCCCGUCGGGUAGCAGCCAGUUAAAUUUAAAGACGUGGAUAAGCAUGUAGAGCCAAUGGCAGAGGGCUUGCGGACGCGGGUUCGAUUCCCGCCGCCUCCACCA